GGUUUUGGAUGGACUCGCGGCCUAUCAGCUUGUUGGUGGGGUAAUGGCCUACCAAGGCGACGACGGGUAGCCGGCCUGAGAGGGUGGACGGCCACACUGGGACUGAGACACGGCCCAGACUCCUACGGGAGGCAGCAGUGGGGAAUAUUGCACAAUGGGCGCAAGCCUGAUGCACCGACGCCGCGUGGGGGAUGAAGGCCUUCGGGUUGUAAACCUCUUUCAGUAGGGAAGAAGCGAAAGUGACGGUACCUGCAGAAGAAGCGCCGGCUAACUACGUGCCAGCAGCCGCGGUAAUACGUAGGGCGCAAGCGUUAUCCGGAAUUAUUGGGCGUAAAGAGCUCGUAGGCGGUUUGUCGCGUCUGCCGUGAAAGUCCGGGGCUUAACUCCGGAUCUGCGGUGGGUACGGGCAGACUAGAGUGAUGUAGGGGAGACUGGAAUUCCUGGUGUAGCGGUGAAAUGCGCAGAUAUCAGGAGGAACACCGAUGGUGAAGGCAGGUCUCUGGGCAUUAACUGACGCUGAGGAGCGAAAGCAUGGGGAGCGAACAGGAUUAGAUACCCUGGUAGUCCAUGCCGUAAACGUUGGGCACUAGGUGUGGGGGACAUUCCACGUUUUCCGCGCC
RNAcentral lists this ribosomal RNA (620 nucleotides) under Arthrobacter sp. TB 23. Its description in RNAcentral is "bacterial SSU rRNA". It matches the Rfam family "Bacterial small subunit ribosomal RNA", at positions 217 to 847 of the family's 1533-position model. The record is from RNAcentral. Lineage: Bacteria; Bacillati; Actinomycetota; Actinomycetes; Micrococcales; Micrococcaceae.